This 3714-nucleotide long non-coding RNA is filed under the name Equus caballus (horse). RNAcentral's name for it is "lncRNA (ENSECAG00000053835.1)". The record is from RNAcentral. Lineage: Eukaryota; Metazoa; Chordata; Mammalia; Perissodactyla; Equidae.
GCCCUCCACAGCAUCUCAGCCGGACUUGCGGGCAACUCACGAGUUCUCUAUAGCUGGGUUCUGAUUCAGACAGUGUUUUGGGUAAACAUUUCCACAAAUUGUUACGGCAAGUAUUCACAGUGAGAGCUCAAAUAACAGUCAGCUGUAAGUCAUCCACGGUGACCACAUUAUCUAUGAACCCCGGGCCUUUCUGCGUAAAGGUAGGUAACAGGUAAUGAAAGAUCCAUCCUCGCGUUUUGUUACAACACAAACGCUGCUGGACAGGAAAUGACAGAAGCGACCUGACAGGCUCAUCUGCAGCUAUGGAGUACCUACAAUGCAGAUAAAGGACACGGUUCCUACUCCUGACACACACCGACUUUACCUUUGAUGGAUUCACCCUGCACCUAAAGGUCCAUCCCCAUCCUCUCCACUCCUCCUCAUUUCCCCCCAAAAGACGAUCACCGGGCCCUCACCUCGACUUCCGCUCCCCGCCGCAUCCCCCGAAGCCCGAUACGCCAGCCAGCCCGCCAGGACGCUGCUGUCACCCGCCCCACCGACCGAACAGAGCGCGGCCUCACCCCACGCGACAAAGCCGACCCUCCGGGGUCUCACCACCUUCGCAGCUCCGCUCUCCUUCCGGCGGAAAAAGAGUCUCUUCCGGUUUCCGGGACGUGGGGAGGAAGUCCCGCCCCUCGCAACUGCGUACUGCGGCGGGAGGUGCGGAGGCUGCGCGCGCGGGCUCGAGAGCGUCGCGCGGUCACUGCUCGAUGUUCACAGCAGCUUUGUUUGCAAUAGCACGAAACUAAACAACUCAAAUGUUCAUCAACAAGUGAAUGGAUAAACAUAUUUUGGUAUGUUCAUACAAAGCAAUACUGCUCAGGAAUAAAAACAAGUGAACUCUUGUUAGGAUUAUUUACAUACUGUAUGGAAUCGGCCAAGGGCCAAAAGCCUGUCAUCUCCUUAGCUGGAAACCGUGUACCACUCCUCACUCCCCUCCCCUUUAUCCGAUAUCUCGAAAGGCUCAGCUUCCCUCAUGGCUGUCCCUCCUCAGACCCAUCCAGAGGCUCCUGCAGAGUCCUAGCGGGCAACCAACACUGCUCAGUCUAGAAUUCAAGACUCUCCAGAAGCUGCCUCUGUCUAGAUAUCCAAAUGAACGCCCUCAAACCACCUUAGUGGGUUCCACAGAAUAGCCUGUGAGUGGCGCUACCUAAGGAAACAAGGAGAAGGCAGAAAACUUCUGGACCUGCCAUCUCUCUCCAUUUCCUGGUAGGUAUUUUCUCUUCUCUAGGCUGCUUUAAUAAUGGUUCUCACGCUGUCCCAUUUUUCCCCCCACUUAAUCACAUUAAAAUAUCUUUAAGGGGGCUUGGCAAUAUCUUUGCAAUUACAGACCCCAGGCAGCAAGGGAAAGGUAAAGAAUGCGUAUUUUUGUAUCUUUUGCAAUCAGAAGAUAACUCUACCUUCUCAGUCCUCCCCCCACUCCCAUUUACCCUCUUUCCCAAAUCUGUCCCACAUAAUCUUCCCUCCUGUUCGUAUGGGUCCGUCUGGGCUCUUGUUUAUGGCCACUCCCUUCACCUGUGAACUAGAUUCCAUCUCCUCUCAACCAUUCAAGGACUAUGAUCCUGCAAUUCUUCCUCUCUCUUUCCUGAGUUGUCAAUUUUUCCCUCUCUACUGGACGAUUCCCCUCAGUUUACAGAUAGGUCAUAAUAACUGCCAUCAUUGACAAAGAUACCGCUUCCUUGGCCCAAUAUCCUACUGCAGCCACUAUUCCAUUCCUCCACUUUCAUUUACAGAAAUACUCCUUGAAAUUAUAGACGCAUUGUCUUUAUUUUCUCACCUUCUAUUCUGUCUUUAACUCACUCCAAUCUGAUUUUCAUCCCCAUCACUGAAACCAUUCUUGCAAUGACUCCCAUAAUUCCUCAAUCUUGACAUUGAAAAAUGCCACAGACGAUUCACAGUCCUCAUUCAGCAUCAGUGGAAAUAGCUGAUGUCUCCCCACUUCUUGCCAUUCUCUUCAGCCGUUCCCGGGACACCACCCUCUCCUGGUUUUUCUCCUCCCUCACUGGCUGCCCUUUCUCAGUUUCCUUUGCUGAAUUCUCCUCCUUUUCCUCCUAACCUCUAAUGUUAGAAUAGCCCAGAGUUUGGUCCUCUUUCCUACCUACACUGACAGACUUUUUUCCUCAAACGUAAUGACUUUAACUAUCAUCUCCAUUUUGAUGCAGCUCAAAUGAACUCUUUAGUCCUGAGGGCUUCCCGCAACUCUAGACACAUACAUCCAAACGUUGACUUCACAUCUCCAACUUGACGUACAGUACAUAUCUCAAAUUUAGCAUUUCUAAAAGUGAACUCUUCUGCCACCCUCAAACCUGCUCAUCCCAUAGUAUUUCUCAUCUUAACGUCGUACCAUCACUCACCCAGCCACUUAGGUCAGAAACCUUUUUCAAGCUCUUUCAAAUACACUCUACAUCCAACCUAUCAGCAAAUGAGUUCUACCUUUAAAAUAGGUUCUGAAUUUGACCACUUCCUUCCCCCAAUGUAAUUACUAACCUGCUCCCAGCCACCAACAUCUUUGCCUGGAUUGCCAGCUGAGAACGCUAACCAGACACUCUACUUCUACCCUUGUUUCUCUACUCCACACGGAAACCAGAGUCGCUCUGUUAAAUCACCAGCCACUCUUCUGUGCCAAACUGCCCAAUAACUGCAUCUCACUUUUAAAUAAAAUCCUAAAUCUCUGCCAUGGUCUGCAAGGCCCAACACGAGAUCUCUGCCCCAGAUGCAUCUCCAGCCCAUCUCCCAUUGUUCCCCUUGCUCUUACCACUUCAGACAUUCUGGCUUUCUUGUUAUUCCUCAAGUAUGCCAACUGUGUUCCUACCUCAGGGCCUUUGUACUUGCUACUCUCCCUGCCUGGAACAACCAUCCCCUAAAAUACAUACACGACCUGCACCCUCACAUCACUCUGGAGCAGGGUUACCAGAGAAAACACAGGCUUUGGGUAAUAUACCUAGGAGUGGAAUUGAUGGGUUAUAUGGUAGUUUGAUGUUUAGCAUUUUGGGGAACCACCAAACUUUUCCAUAGCAGUGGCACCAUUCCAGUUUCCCCCAGCCAUGUACAAGGGUUCCAGUUUCUCCAUUUCCAGGUCCUGAGUGAACAGUGAGUCCUUCCGUUCUGAAGAUUGUUGCCCUUCCACUCUGAGAAAUUCUCUCCCUCUCUCUAAUUCCCUCACUUCUAUUAUUUAUGUUCUUUAUUCCUAGAAUUUCUGUUAAUUCAAGCUUGAACUUCCUGAUUGAUUUUCUGUCUCUUUUCUCUCCUUUUAUAUCUCUGUUUUCAUUCUGUUUAGUUGAAGAUUGAUUCAAUUUUUAUCCUCAUGCCCUUCUAUUGAUUUAAUUUUAGCACUGAUUUUAACUUUCAGAAGCUUUUAUUCUUUGUUACUCUUUCCUAGCAUCCUGAUACUGUUUUUUUUUUUUAAAGAUUUUAUUGUUUUCCUUUUUCUCCCCAAAGUCCCCCAGUACAUAGUUGUAUAUUCUUCAUUGUGGGCCCUUCUAGUUGUGGCAUGUGGGACGCUACCUCAGCGUGGUUUGAUGAGCAGUGCCAUGUCCGCGCCUAGGAUUCGAACCAACGAAACACUGGGCCGCCUGCAGCGGAGCGCGCGAACUUAACCACUCGGCCACGGGGCCAGCCCCCUGAUACUGUUUUAAGGGUGCAGUUUUCUCACUGUGUGUGUGUGUGUGUGUGUGU